Molecule: long non-coding RNA, 725 nt
Organism: Megalobrama amblycephala (Wuchang bream)
Lineage: Eukaryota; Metazoa; Chordata; Actinopteri; Cypriniformes; Xenocyprididae
Exons: 3
Source: RefSeq, a predicted model, not a curated record
AUCUUACAUUUAAUCAAGCUUCAAUUGUACUUUCUGAGAUUAUUUUUUUCUGAUUUUUUUUUUUUUUUUUUUAAAAUAAAACCUGUGGCUCGCAGUCUCUCAACUUCUACAUCAACUAACAUUGAGAGCCUUAACCAGAGCAACAUGUCCACCUGGAUGCUUGGACUUCAUACUUCCAAAAUGUCUAAACACAAAAGAAGACAGAAUGAAUGUGAGAGAUGAAGAGAAAGACAGCAACUUUGUGCCGUCCCACAUCUGCCAUGCGUGGUAUGAUGAUCUGGGCCACAUGUGGCGGGAAUGAUGGCACUUGAGAGGACUGCACCUGUUUACCAGAUAUGGGCCACAAGCAGGCCAUAGCAAUGCCACAUGUCAGCCAAGAGCAAAGAAAUAAACCAGAACUGGACCUUAUCUGAGCUAAAAAAAAAUCUUUAUACAUUAUUUAUAGAAUCAUCUUAGCAUUAACAAGCCUGUUAACAUGCAGAAUCACUAAAGGAAAGAAGAGAACAGAAAAAAGAGACAAACAGAAACAAAAGAGCUACAACUGACUUCAGCCACAGCCUUAGAUGAAAUCAACUGAAGAUAAAAGACAUUUAAUCUCUCCAGAUCUCUGCUGAGGUGGAUUAAACAACUCCACAAACCUCAUUACAGCCUUUAAUAUUACUAACCAGAUUGACUUUAUUUGUGUCAUUCAUCUACAGAAGCUCUUAUUGAGAAUUAAAAUAAGU